CCCGUCACAUCAUGGGAGCUGGAUGCACCCGAAGUCGCUGACCUAACCCGCAAGGGAGGAGGCGCCUAAGGUGUGGCUAGUGACUGGGAUG
RNAcentral lists this ribosomal RNA (91 nucleotides) under uncultured bacterium. RNAcentral's name for it is "partial 16S ribosomal RNA". It matches the Rfam family "Bacterial small subunit ribosomal RNA", at positions 1393 to 1482 of the family's 1533-position model. The record is from RNAcentral.